AUUGAACGCUGGCGGCAGGCCUAACACAUGCAAGUCGAACGGUAACAGGAAACAGCUUGCUGUUUCGCUGACGAGUGGCGGACGGGUGAGUAAUGUCUGGGAAACUGCCUGAUGGAGGGGGAUAACUACUGGAAACGGUAGCUAAUACCGCAUAACGUCGCAAGACCAAAGAGGGGGACCUUCGGGCCUCUUGCCAUCGGAUGUGCCCAGAUGGGAUUAGCUAGUAGGUGGGGUAACGGCUCACCUAGGCGACGAUCCCUAGCUGGUCUGAGAGGAUGACCAGCCACACUGGAACUGAGACACGGUCCAGACUCCUACGGGAGGCAGCAGUGGGGAAUAUUGCACAAUGGGCGCAAGCCUGAUGCAGCCAUGCCGCGUGUAUGAAGAAGGCCUUCGGGUUGUAAAGUACUUUCAGCGGGGAGGAAGGGAGUAAAGUUAAUACCAUUGCUCAUUGACGUUACCCGCAGAAGAAGCACCGGCUAACUCCGUG
RNAcentral lists this ribosomal RNA (490 nucleotides) under uncultured bacterium. RNAcentral's name for it is "partial 16S ribosomal RNA". It matches the Rfam family "Bacterial small subunit ribosomal RNA", at positions 30 to 507 of the family's 1533-position model. The record is from RNAcentral.